CCUACGGGAGGCAGCAGUAAGGAAUAUUGGUCAAUGGACGAAAGUCUGAACCAGCCAUGCCGCGUGAAGGAUGACGGCCCUCUGGGUUGUAAACUUCUUUUAUAUGGGACGAAAAAAGGGAAUUCUUUCUCACUUGACGGUACCAUAGGAAUAAGCACCGGCUAACUCCGUGCCAGCAGCCGCGGUAAUACGGAGGGUGCAAGCGUUAUCCGGAUUCACUGGGUUUAAAGGGUGCGUAGGUGGGUAGGUAAGUCAGUGGUGAAAUCUCCGAGCUUAACUCGGAAACUGCCAUUGAUACUAUUUAUCUUGAAUUUUUUGGAGGUGAGCGGAAUAUGUCAUGUAGCGGUGAAAUGCUUAGAUAUGACAUAGAACACCAAUUGCGAAGGCAGCUCACUACGAAAUUAUUGACACUGAGGCACGAAAGCGUGGGGAUCAAACAGGAUUAGAUACCCUGGUAGUCCACGCCCUAAACGAUGGAUACUCGACAUCAGCGAUACACUGUUGGUGUCUGNGNGAAGACAUAUAUCCACCUGAGACGACGCGAGUAGAAGUAAGUAGUAGAGNGNGAGAGAGCGACGACGACGACGACGGAGGAGG
Molecule: ribosomal RNA, 597 nt
Filed under: uncultured bacterium
Lineage: Bacteria
Description: bacterial SSU rRNA
Rfam family: Bacterial small subunit ribosomal RNA (bases 1-531)
Source: RNAcentral